This 327-nucleotide ribosomal RNA is filed under the name uncultured Lachnospiraceae bacterium. Its description in RNAcentral is "partial 16S ribosomal RNA". Lineage: Bacteria; Bacillati; Bacillota; Clostridia; Lachnospirales; Lachnospiraceae. The record is from RNAcentral.
GGAGUUUGGACCGUGUCUCAGUUCCAAUGUGGCCGUUCGCCCUCUCAGGCCGGCUAUUGAUCGUUGCUUUGGUAGGCUUUUACCCUGCCAACUGGCUAAUCAAACGCGGGUCCAUCCUUAAGCGAAAUUCCUUUCCUCACUGUAUCAUGCGAUACUGUAAGCAUAUGGUGUAUUAGCAAUAAUUUCUCACUGUUAUUCACCUCUUAAGGGCAGGUUACCCACGCGUUACUCACCCGUCCGCCACUAGAAUUUUUGGAAAUCCAGCGAACCUUCAUUCCAAAGUUCCCGUUCGACUUGCAUGUGUUAGGCACGCCGCCAGCGUUCAUC